RNAcentral lists this ribosomal RNA (301 nucleotides) under uncultured bacterium. Its description in RNAcentral is "partial 16S ribosomal RNA". It matches the Rfam family "Bacterial small subunit ribosomal RNA", at positions 509 to 807 of the family's 1533-position model. The record is from RNAcentral.
CAGUCGCCGCGGGAAUACUGAGGGUGCAAGCGUUAAUCGGAAUUACUGGGCGUAAAGCGCACGCAGGCGGUCUGACAAGUCAGAUGUGAAAUCCCCGGGCUUAACCUGGGAACUGCAUUUGAAACUGUCAGGCUGGAGUCUUGUAGAGGGGGGUAGAAUUCCAGGUGUAGCGGUGAAAUGCGUAGAGAUCUGGAGGAAUACCGGUGGCGAAGGCGGCCCCCUGGACAAAGACUGACGCUCAGGUGCGAAAGCGUGGGGAGCAAACAGGAUUAGAUACCCGAGUAGUCCCUGUCUCUUAUAC